AAAAAAGCUGGCUGACUGCUACUAACGUGUCACCCAGAUCUCAUAUCCAAAUCACAUGCAUUGCUGGUCCCACAUCAAACAACAUAAUCGACGCCUCAGAUCUGUUUGGUAGCUCAUUGGCCCCACCAAUACCUCUCGAACUUCCGAACCUUCUUCCUUCUACUCUAUUUAUAAUCCUCCCUUCCUUUCUUUAUUUCCUCACUGAUCAGGACUGCACGCAAAGAGCAGAGAGAGAGAGAGAGUAUCAAAACUAGCAAAAAAUGAUGCUAAAAAAAGCUGUCAUCCUUCUUUCUUUGAUCUGCAUUUCGAUUGCUGGUGUUUCUGGUCAAGCACCAGCAACGUCACCAACAGCAACACCAGCACCACCCACACCAACUUCUUCUCCACCGCCAGCAACCACUCCUCCACCAGUUUCAGCCCCACCUCCUGUUACCCAAUCUCCACCUCCAGCUACCCCUCCUCCAGUUUCAGCCCCACCACCUGCCACCCCUCCUCCCGCAACCCCACCACCAGCAACUCCUCCUCCCGCCACCCCACCACCAGCAACCCCACCACCUGCUACUCCUCCACCAGCAACCCCUCCUCCCGCUGUUCCUCCACCAGCUCCAUUGGCAGCUCCACCAGCUCUUGUUCCAGCUCCAGCUCCCAGCAAGCCUAAGUUGAAGUCUCCAGCUCCAUCUCCCCUGGCAUUGAGUCCUCCAUCUCCACCAACUGGCG
Molecule: long non-coding RNA, 717 nt
Filed under: Populus trichocarpa (black cottonwood)
Lineage: Eukaryota; Viridiplantae; Streptophyta; Magnoliopsida; Malpighiales; Salicaceae
Description: long non-coding RNA (PTRI_LNC002324)
Source: RNAcentral